Long non-coding RNA from Orcinus orca (killer whale), 1084 nucleotides. RefSeq lists it as uncharacterized. The transcript has 3 exons. Lineage: Eukaryota; Metazoa; Chordata; Mammalia; Artiodactyla; Delphinidae. The record is from RefSeq and is a predicted model, not a curated record.
UUCCUGAAAAUAAAUCCUGCAAACUUUUUGAUGAUUUGAAAAUCAUUUAUUUGGAAUCCAGGAAAAAAAAAAAGAUAUGAACAAAGAUCUCAAUACCCAAAGAAUAAUAAAAACAUGUUUCCAAAUAUAAGAAAUGGGUUAACAGUAAGUGGAUUCCACUAUGAAGCAAACACUUGUCUGACCAGAAGACAAGUCAUUCAUUUAGUUGAGCCAUCAGUUCCUCAUUCUGAAUUUAAAAGAGAGAAGUUAAAUAGGAGAGCAACUUUUCAACCACAUAAUGGUAGCCAUGGCAACCUACCGCAGUAUAUAGGUAAAGCACAGCAUAAGAAAUGAUUUUGAGAUCCUUGAGAGGAAAUAAAUCAUGUGGUGAGGUACGGGGUGUGGGUGAGGGGAUGGCAUGACUAAAUAAGAACAAAUAUGCCCAUUCAGUAAACCUACAACUUUUAAAGAACUAUGUUAAGGCACAAGGAUGGAAAAGACACAGUUCUUAACCUGUAAAACAUUUACUGCUAUGGGGUAAAGUGGUCGGGCGGGUGGAUGAGUACUGUAUCUGCAUAGCCAGCUACUUGCCCAAUACUGGACACAUGGUAAAUGCUCAAUACUCUGGUGUUGCAUGAUUAAAAAUAUGAACUGAACCAGAGAAGCAAAGACAUAGACAUGGAGCUGCAAGCUCAUGUGGUAUGCAAAUGAUAAUAAAAAGGCUGGUUACAAACCCUGGCUUACUCAACAAACAUUUACUGAACAUCAAUUUGACUCACAGGAUUGUUGAACUAGAGAACUGUGAAUUCUGGGCGCUGAAUGAAGAAAACCAUGCCAUGCAGAAGACAGGAUGAGAGAAGAGAAGACAUGCAGAGGAAGAAAAGUUCAAUCCUGCCCCAUUAACCUAAGAUUGUAAAAUACAAACUUUAGAUUUUCUGUUCCCUCCAAUCUCAGCUUUUCUGCGCGCCUUAUGAUUUUCCAGGGCUCUCUUUUCAAAGGUUUCCUUAUGUUCCACAGUCCAGCCUACAACCCAAUCUGUGUUCAAAGAUUGCUCUGCCCUUCAAAGUGCCCUACCCCCCAGAAGUAAAGACUAGACCACCCUCUC